AUGAAAUGUGAGGUAGUCUAAAAUAAUUCCUGGAAGAACUGCAAGUAACGGUGAACAACAACCAUCAAACCGACGGGUGCAACAGGGGGAUCAGGAAAGUAAAGUCGGCGAUUUGUUGCAGCUAGAAGAUGGUCACACUGAAGAAAGACCACGGUCGCCAGGUGGUAACGCUGGUGUAGCUGAUCACACGGGUGCAGCUGGCAGCGCUGUUGCAGUUGGCUACGGUGGAAGAAUCGACGAAAUUGGCAACGCUAUCGGAGACAAUUUAAAUGCUUGCAUUCAAACUGGAGCGAUGAAUUUGGCCAAGGAAAUUUGAUUAGAAUUUACUGGAGAAAGUGAGCACUUGCUUUGUAUCAGUAAAUUGAAAGGUGUUGCUUUGAAGUGAUUCCAUGCAGACCCUUUGCGCAUCAUUGCUCCGAUUGACUAGAUGCUAAACCAAUUGGUUUUGGCGUUCGGUGGAAGAUUUUUAAAAUCAGAACUACGCCAGAAGUUUGAGGAUCGGGCUUGGAAACCAGAUGAGGUGUUCGCCACAUACUUUAGCGAAAAAAAAAUAUUGGCACAGGACAUUAAUAUUGAUGUAGAGGAGUUAAUGGAGGGUAUUAUUUGAGGCAUACCUUGCUAAAACUUGCGUAUUCAAGCUAGUAUGCAUUGUUUUACCAAUCCGGCUCAAAUCUGGCGUGCGUUUGCAUCUUUAAAAUGGCCAAUCAAACGGACACGAAACACUGUAGUAAAACAAGCUGCACAGGAAACACAAGCGGACAAACAACAACACUGCUACAAUUGCAAUGUCAAGGGCCAUUGGGCUAAAGAUUUCUUAAAGCCUAAACGGCAUCCAGGAUCUUGCUAUGCUUGCGGUUCAAAAGAUCACCUAAUAACAGGAUGUCCAAAUACGAAGUCUGUUGUGGAAAAGAAAUAUCAUGCCUCAUAGACUCUGACAGCCUUAUUUCAUUUUUAAAGCAAAAGUUUGCUCCAUUAGGAACUAAGCGUACACCAGAUGCGAGUUCGUAUGUAGGCUUAAAUAGAAGUAAACCAAGAAAUGUUGGAAAAAUCUUAUGUUAUAUGAAGAAAAAGUUAAUAAUUAAUAGUCUAGGAGGUAUGACGCUGAGCUUGGCAGAGAUUUUAUGGAUGCUUUUGAUUUGAGUAUUGAUUUAAGAACAUUGAAAAUUUUUAAUGUGUGUAAAGUUGAUUAUCAGAAUAAUGUUAACAAGUAAGAGGUUCUAGUCGAGAGCUCCCGACUAGGGGAUACCCUGAACCCUCUUC
Drosophila virilis is the source of this 1260-nucleotide non-coding RNA. NCBI's taxonomy places the organism in Eukaryota, Metazoa, Arthropoda, Insecta, Diptera, Drosophilidae. The record is from RefSeq and is a predicted model, not a curated record.